UUCCAGGCGCCACAGAGGGGGCUGCGCGGUCCUUGCGAGGUGCUGCGAUCCCCACGGGUCGAGCGCUCCCCGAGGGCGGUGGGCGGAGUCGGCCUCACCUGCGGGGCGUGGCUCCUACCGGCCCCGCCCCCAGAGGAGCAGGCCCAGCUGGGACUGGCGCAGCAGGGUGUGGCGGGGCGAGCCGGGAGAGCGGGGCGCAGCGGGGCGCGGGGCGGCCGAGAGGUGCCGAGCGCUCCGCGACCAGGAGACAGGGACGGCCCUUGAGGCGCAGGACGCCCCACGCCCCACUGUGGGGCAUCCCGGGGUCUGGAGCCCGGCUGGCCGCGCUCCUCGGGGAGCGCAGGUAAACAGGAGCGGGGAACGGGGCGGAGCCUGGGGGGCG
RNAcentral lists this long non-coding RNA (382 nucleotides) under Heterocephalus glaber (naked mole-rat). RNAcentral's name for it is "lncRNA (ENSHGLG00000043792.1)". Lineage: Eukaryota; Metazoa; Chordata; Mammalia; Rodentia; Bathyergidae. The record is from RNAcentral.